AAAGCCCUACUAUGUACGUGAAAACCUUGAAGUUUUUUCCAACACAUUUACAAAGGGAGUCCGGUUCUCUGGUUGUAGCUUGUAUGCCUCCUUCGUUGAGGAAACAAAAAUCAUCCAGGAGGACACCCACCUGUUACAGCAGGUUCAAACUUUUGGGCGUCACGGCAUCGGUGGGGUUUCU
Molecule: non-coding RNA, 181 nt
Filed under: Pelotomaculum schinkii
Lineage: Bacteria; Bacillati; Bacillota; Clostridia; Eubacteriales; Desulfotomaculaceae
Also listed under: 2 other names
Description: 6S / SsrS RNA
Rfam family: 6S / SsrS RNA
About the family: E. coli 6S RNA was the first non coding RNA to be sequenced, but its function was unknown until recently.
Source: Rfam by way of RNAcentral